CAGUCGAGCGCAGGAAGCAAGCUGAUCCCCUUCGGGGGUGACGCUUGUGGAAUGAGCGGCGGACGGGUGAGUAACACGUGGGCAACCUGCCUGUAAGACUGGGAUAACCCCGGGAAACCGGGGCUAAUACCGGAUAAUACUUUCUUUUGCAUAAAGGAAAGUUGAAAGGCGGCUUCGGCUGUCACUUACAGAUGGGCCCGCGGCGCAUUAGCUAGUUGGUGAGGUAACGGCUCACCAAGGCGACGAUGCGUAGCCGACCUGAGAGGGUGAUCGGCCACACUGGGACUGAGACACGGCCCAGACUCCUACGGGAGGCAGCAGUAGGGAAUCUUCCGCAAUGGACGAAAGUCUGACGGAGCAACGCCGCGUGAGUGAUGAAGGUUUUCGGAUCGUAAAACUCUGUUGUUAGGGAAGAACAAGUUGGGUAGUAACUGACCCAACCUUGACGGUACCUAACCAGAAAGCCACGGCUAACUGACGCUGCCAGCAGCCGCGGUAAUAGCGUAGGUGAGCGAAGCAGGAUUAGAUACCCUGGAAGUCCACUGCGCGUAAAGCGAUCGCAGUGCUAGGUCCUUUAAGGCUGAUGUGAAAUCUCGCCCCUUAGUGCUCAACCGCGAACGGUCAUUGGAAGCACUCCGCCUGAGGACUUGAGUACAGCCGCAAGAGCUGAAACUCAAAAGAAUUCCACGUGUAGCGGCCCGCACAAUGCGGUAGAGCAUGUGGUUUAAUUCGAAGCAACAGUGGCGAAGAACGACUCUACCAGGUCUGUGACAUCCUCUGCUAUUCCUAGAGAUAGGAAGUUCCCUUCGGGGACAGAGUGACAGGUGGUGCAUGGUUGUCGUCAGCUCGUGUCGUGAGAUGUUGGGUUAAGUCCCGCAACGAGCGCAACCCUUGAUCUUAGUUGCCAGCAUUUAGUUGGGCACUCUAAGGUGACUGCCGGUGACAAACCGGAGGAAGGUGGGGAUGACGUCAAAUCAUCAUGCCCCUUAUGACCUGGGCUACACACGUGCUACAAUGGAUGGAACAAAGGGAAGCAAAACCGCGAGGUCAAGCAAAUCCCAUAAAACCAUUCUCAGUUCGGAUUGCAGGCUGCAACUCGCCUGCAUGAAGCCGGAAUCGCUAGUAAUCGCGGAUCAGCAUGCCGCGGUGAAUACGUUCCCGGGCCUUGUACACACCGCCCGUCACACCACGAGAGUUGGUAACACCCGAAGUCGGUGAGGUAACCUUUGGAGCCA
Molecule: ribosomal RNA, 1235 nt
Filed under: Oceanobacillus sp. NIMD2
Lineage: Bacteria; Bacillati; Bacillota; Bacilli; Caryophanales; Bacillaceae
Description: partial 16S ribosomal RNA
Rfam family: Bacterial small subunit ribosomal RNA
Source: RNAcentral